UUAGGGUAGUUAACGGAAGUUA
RNAcentral lists this microRNA (22 nucleotides) under Arabidopsis thaliana (thale cress). Its description in RNAcentral is "ath-miR5629". Lineage: Eukaryota; Viridiplantae; Streptophyta; Magnoliopsida; Brassicales; Brassicaceae. The record is from miRBase by way of RNAcentral.